GGUUAAGCGACUAAGCGUACACGGUGGAUGCCCUGGCAGUCAGAGGCGAUGAAGGACGUGCUAAUCUGCGAUAAGCGUCGGUAAGGUGAUAUGAACCGUUAUAACCGGCGAUUUCCGAAUGGGGAAACCCAGUGUGAUUCGUCACACUAUCAUUAACUGAAUCCAUAGGUUAAUGAGGCGAACCGGGGGAACUGAAACAUCUAAGUACCCCGAGGAAAAGAAAUCAACCGAGAUUCCCCCAGUAGCGGCGAGCGAACGGGGAGCAGCCCAGAGCCUGAAUCAGUGUGUGUGUUAGUGGAAGCGUCUGGAAAGGCGCGCGAUACAGGGUGACAGCCCCGUACACAAAAAUGCACAUGCUGUGAGCUCGAUGAGUAGGGCGGGACACGUGGUAUCCUGUCUGAAUAUGGGGGGACCAUCCUCCAAGGCUAAAUACUCCUGACUGACCGAUAGUGAACCAGUACCGUGAGGGAAAGGCGAAAAGAACCCCGGCGAGGGGAGUGAAAAAGAACCUGAAACCGUGUACGUACAAGCAGUGGGAGCCUCUUAAUGGGGUGACUGCGUACCUUUUGUAUAAUGGGUCAGCGACUUAUAUUCUGUAGCAAGGUUAACCGAAUAGGGGAGCCGAAGGGAAACCGAGUCUUAACUGGGCGUUAAGUUGCAGGGUAUAGACCCGAAACCCGGUGAUCUAGCCAUGGGCAGGUUGAAGGUUGGGUAACACUAACUGGAGGACCGAACCGACUAAUGUUGAAAAAUUAGCGGAUGACUUGUGGCUGGGGGUGAAAGGCCAAUCAAACCGGGAGAUAGCUGGUUCUCCCCGAAAGCUAUUUAGGUAGCGCCUCGUGAAUUCAUCUCCGGGGGUAGAGCACUGUUUCGGCAAGGGGGUCAUCCCGACUUACCAACCCGAUGCAAACUGCGAAUACCGGAGAAUGUUAUCACGGGAGACACACGGCGGGUGCUAACGUCCGUCGUGAAGAGGGAAACAACCCAGACCGCCAGCUAAGGUCCCAAAGUCAUGGUUAAGUGGGAAACGAUGUGGGAAGGCCCAGACAGCCAGGAUGUUGGCUUAGAAGCAGCCAUCAUUUAAAGAAAGCGUAAUAGCUCACUGGUCGAGUCGGCCUGCGCGGAAGAUGUAACGGGGCUAAACCAUGCACCGAAGCUGCGGCAGCGACACUAUGUGUUGUUGGGUAGGGGAGCGUUCUGUAAGCCUGCGAAGGUGUACUGUGAGGUAUGCUGGAGGUAUCAGAAGUGCGAAUGCUGACAUAAGUAACGAUAAAGCGGGUGAAAAGCCCGCUCGCCGGAAGACCAAGGGUUCCUGUCCAACGUUAAUCGGGGCAGGGUGAGUCGACCCCUAAGGCGAGGCCGAAAGGCGUAGUCGAUGGGAAACAGGUUAAUAUUCCUGUACUUGGUGUUACUGCGAAGGGGGGACGGAGAAGGCUAUGUUGGCCGGGCGACGGUUGUCCCGGUUUAAGCGUGUAGGCUGGUUUUCCAGGCAAAUCCGGAAAAUCAAGGCUGAGGCGUGAUGACGAGGCACUACGGUGCUGAAGCAACAAAUGCCCUGCUUCCAGGAAAAGCCUCUAAGCAUCAGGUAACAUCAAAUCGUACCCCAAACCGACACAGGUGGUCAGGUAGAGAAUACCAAGGCGCUUGAGAGAACUCGGGUGAAGGAACUAGGCAAAAUGGUGCCGUAACUUCGGGAGAAGGCACGCUGAUAUGUAGGUGAAGUCCCUCGCGGAUGGAGCUGAAAUCAGUCGAAGAUACCAGCUGGCUGCAACUGUUUAUUAAAAACACAGCACUGUGCAAACACGAAAGUGGACGUAUACGGUGUGACGCCUGCCCGGUGCCGGAAGGUUAAUUGAUGGGGUUAGCGGUAACGCGAAGCUCUUGAUCGAAGCCCCGGUAAACGGCGGCCGUAACUAUAACGGUCCUAAGGUAGCGAAAUUCCUUGUCGGGUAAGUUCCGACCUGCACGAAUGGCGUAAUGAUGGCCAGGCUGUCUCCACCCGAGACUCAGUGAAAUUGAACUCGCUGUGAAGAUGCAGUGUACCCGCGGCAAGACGGAAAGACCCCGUGAACCUUUACUAUAGCUUGACACUGAACAUUGAGCCUUGAUGUGUAGGAUAGGUGGGAGGCUUUGAAGUGUGGACGCCAGUCUGCAUGGAGCCGACCUUGAAAUACCACCCUUUAAUGUUUGAUGUUCUAACGUUGGCCCCUGAUCGGGGUUGCGGACAGUGUCUGGUGGGUAGUUUGACUGGGGCGGUCUCCUCCUAAAGAGUAACGGAGGAGCACGAAGGUUGGCUAAUCCUGGUCGGACAUCAGGAGGUUAGUGCAAUGGCAUAAGCCAGCUUGACUGCGAGCGUGACGGCGCGAGCAGGUGCGAAAGCAGGUCAUAGUGAUCCGGUGGUUCUGAAUGGAAGGGCCAUCGCUCAACGGAUAAAAGGUACUCCGGGGAUAACAGGCUGAUACCGCCCAAGAGUUCAUAUCGACGGCGGUGUUUGGCACCUCGAUGUCGGCUCAUCACAUCCUGGGGCUGAAGUAGGUCCCAAGGGUAUGGCUGUUCGCCAUUUAAAGUGGUACGCGAGCUGGGUUUAGAACGUCGUGAGACAGUUCGGUCCCUAUCUGCCGUGGGCGCUGGAGAACUGAGGGGGGCUGCUCCUAGUACGAGAGGACCGGAGUGGACGCAUCACUGGUGUUCGGGUUGUCAUGCCAAUGGCACUGCCCGGUAGCUAAAUGCGGAAGAGAUAAGUGCUGAAAGCAUCUAAGCACGAAACUUGCCCCGAGAUGAGUUCUCCCUGACUCCUUGAGAGUCCUGAAGGAACGUUGAAGACGACGACGUUGAUAGGCCGGGUGUGUAAGCGCAGCGAUGCGUUGAGCUAACCGGUACUAAUGAACCGUGAGGCUUAACCUU
RNAcentral lists this ribosomal RNA (2904 nucleotides) under Escherichia coli. Its description in RNAcentral is "23S ribosomal RNA". It matches the Rfam family "Bacterial large subunit ribosomal RNA". The record is from RNAcentral. Lineage: Bacteria; Pseudomonadati; Pseudomonadota; Gammaproteobacteria; Enterobacterales; Enterobacteriaceae.